Lolium perenne is the source of this 3866-nucleotide long non-coding RNA. RefSeq lists it as uncharacterized. The record is from RefSeq and is a predicted model, not a curated record. Lineage: Eukaryota; Viridiplantae; Streptophyta; Magnoliopsida; Poales; Poaceae.
GUGUUUUAACCAGAGUGAUAUAAAAAGUUCAACUCAUGGUGAAAACCCUAACCGCACCUGCGCCUGCCCCUCUGUUCCUCAUCCUCGCGGGAGGCGGCGGCUGCACCUCCACGUCGUUCCUCCUCCUCCUCUUCGCUGCACCUCCGCCUCCCACCUCUCCCCUCUCGUUCCUCCCCCUCCUUCGUCUCUCUCUGAUGGCCCCUUGUCGACCUGCGCGCGAGCGUCGUGUCAGCACGAGCAGGGCGCCGUUCUUGGGCGCGGGAACCGCGUAAGGCGCGAGCUGGGCGUCGUGCUUGGACGCACGACCCCUCUGCCCCGCCCACCGCCGCCACAAGUUGCCGGGAGGAGCCCUCCAGCGACCCGUUGCCACGCCGACCUUCAGGCUGCGUCGGGUGACGAGUCCCCACGUCGAGCACUGCUCCUCCUCGACGCUCUCGACCUCUACGUCGACCUCCAGACCUCCAACCUCUUUGGAUUUGAUGGUAUGUUCUGGGCUAGGUCGGUGGUGUUCCUCCUCUCUCUGUCUAUUUAAUCCCCCAAAUCUUAUAUGUUUAUGCAAAUUCUAUGUAUUGUGCCUACAAGUUGUUUGGCAAAAUUCCAAGCAGGCCGUUCUCCAAAUUCCAAGUAGUAAGGAGAUGGAGAAGCAGCACUACAAAGAUCCCAGGUUGUAGCCCUCCUCUGUGCAAUAAUUCCCUGGAGGCAAGGGUUGAAUUUCCUCUGCCAUUUCAUGGUCUAACCAAGAUUUUGAUGUAGCUCAUUAUUUUGUGCUUGAGACAAUUUUAUUAUCAAACCAAACUGCUGAAUGCAUGCUUGUCUGAAAUGUCGCAUACCCAACUAACUCCGUAUGAAAAUAAGAAAAGUCAAUAUCAAGUGGCAUGUCCAUAGUUCUGCAUUUUUUAAACUUCAAACUUGGAUGCUCCUCUAUUCUGUUUCAGGAUGUGUAAACUUAUCCAGAGUUAUGAUCACCGAUCUUUAUUGUACUGAGUAAAGGGGAGAUAAUGUAGUUGAUUAUGUUCCUAAUUAUAUAAAAGUAAUUUUGGUUACUUACCUACUACUAUCUAUUUUCAUCUGCCUUUUCUUAUCCUGGACUGGGCUUCAUUUCACAGUGGGUUGAUAUGAAAAUCCAUAACUGCAUAUUGGAUAAUUCAUUUCUGUUUCCGUAUUCUUUAAAUAGGUAAACACACCAAGGAUAUUGACAUAUUGUAGUGCUGCUUACUUGUGGCAUAGCAGCAGCGGUGGGACGAGUUUACUUGUGCUAGGACUGAACGAUGAAGAGGUUGCUGGAUUCAACCUUUGCAACUACGGCUUGAGCGCAGCCAAAUACAUUCUAUUUUCUGGACCUUUCCUUCAUAAAUUGAGCAUUAUGAUCAAUUCAUUCACAAGGUAAUUGGUAAAUUCUGCCAUCCUAGAGGUCCAUCAAAAAGUUUGGUAUGGUUGUCACUUCGAAUUUAUCUUUAAUGUAUUAUCUUAAUCAAAUAAUCAUAAACAGAAUAAUUUACAAAACUAUCCUGUGCUUGUGUCUCUGUUCUCUUAUGCACAUCCAAGAGUAUUUGGUAACCUCAUCGAUUGUUAUCACCCCUAUAAAAAACUGUACCAAUAUGAAGAUAUACAUGUACAGAAUAAAAUAAGAAAAGAGGGACACUUACAUCCGUAGUAAGUAGAUGAGAUCAUGAGAGAGGUAGGCCUAGCUUCAGGACGAUGCUUCUGCGGUAAAAAUGAAAAGGCCAGUAGCAAUGUUAUUAGCUUCGGGACGAUGCUUAUGCGGUAAAAAUGAAAAGGCCAGUAGUCAAUCUUGUCCAGAAGUAGCAUUCAUUGCUGACAAAUCUGAACCAAGUUUGAAUUAUAUAUAUUCACAAAUAUGAGUUUUCAAACUUUGUCGGCACAUUAGGAAACAUAACUUCAGUUGGAAUAAUCCCUGAAGGAUAACAGUGAAGUAGAGAAUAAAUACAUAUGCCCACCUCAAUGCCCCUGCCAAUUUCAGGUACCGCGUACCACCCCCUCUCUUCCUCAUCUAGACAUGUCGUAGUGCUGGACCUAUUAACUCUGAAACACCUCGUGUAUGAAAACCAUGUGUAUGUAGGAGCUAUGUGCUUUUGAUCUAGAUCUGAGCAAUCGUUGGUAUGUGUAAUAUAUUUCCCUAUGUUAUCAAUGUUUGCUUGUCAAAUGUGUAAUCUAUUUUAUCCAUUGUGUGCUUCUGGUAAAAAUACAGAUACUCAAUUAUUCCAAUAAAAAAUUGCUAGUGCGUGAAAUGAUCUGAUGCCUGGAUUAUAGAAUUUUACCUGCUGCUCCAUAUAUACUCUGUAAUUUCAUAGUAGGAGAAUCUCUCUGCUUUUGAGAUGUUGUAGACUGUUCUUUCAACAUUGAAUUUCCAUUCUGAUAUAUGUGAUUGCCUUCUCAUAUGAUUCACAGUCGUAUCAUGCAGUUUCUUUCAUUUUUCACAACUUCCUUUGCAUCUUGAGCAUAUAGUUGAAUAGGGAGUAUUUAUUUUUUCAACGUGCCUCCAAUGGUGUACUAAACCAUCUGUUGUAUGGUUGAUAAUCUGUAUUCGAUACUCUAUUUGGGUCUUUUACUGGUUAUUAGCUGUUGCAUGGUCGAGUUUACCACUAGAUUGUUUUUUUUUCACCUUGAUGCUCUUCUAUUGUCAUCAUAUGUUUGAGCAUUUUUACUCCUCAAACACCUCUCCCACAUACGCCACCAUCGGUUGGAAACCUCCUGGACCUCGGUAUGUCUGCACAGAUCAUAUGCUCACGUGCUAACUGAAGAUUAGCUGAUGAGGAGGUUCUCUAUUUCUCUUUGCAGGGUAGGUUGGUGGCAAGAGGAUGUGCCUGAAAUUCGAGCGGGUUAAGUAAUGGCUGUAUGUUGGGUGGACAACCAUCAGAUCCUUGGUCUACUAGGUUAUCUUUGGCGCUGUCUGUUGGGGACAACUGCAUUAACGUCAUGCAAGUAUACUUCUGUUUUGUAAAUAUACUUCAUAAAGGUUGUCUUUGGUCUACUCGGAUGAUUUUUAUCAGUCCCUUUCUUUUCCUUUUCUCAUUGCAUUUCUUUGUCUACGCCUUUCUUUUUAUGCCCCCCUUUUGGUUGUUAGUUUUAUCUCUAUCGCAUUUUUUUGUUGCCACAUUUCUUCUUGAAGUUUCUAUUUAUCCCUGCUUUCUUUUAUCUUUUUUGCUUCGACUUCAUUUUCGGUGUAGUUCUCUUUUCUCCAUUAUCGUCCUAGGUUCCAUAUCAGUCCUCACUUUUUAUCAGUUUGUUCCUAUUUUUUUCUUUUUCUUUUUAAUUUUGAUUUCUUUGCUUUCUUUACUUUUUACUAUGAUUAUGUCCACUCAUUUGUUUCCCCUCUUCUUUCUGGUGGGACUUUGUACAAUCUAUAGAUAUCACUUCACAAACUAGAUACAUAUCACUUCGGAAUUUGGUUUCCAAUGGAGCAACCAAAUAUGGAGCAAAGAUUAAGGAGAAAGCGUGGGCAACAGAAGCCACUUUUGUGUAACAAAAGCCACUUCUGUAUAACCAAAAGUAAUAGCUGGUUAUAUAUAAGUUUUGCUACUCAAAUAAUGAUUGCUUGAUUCUCUCUUCUUUCUGGUGGGAGUUUGUAUAAUUACGGAUAUCACUUCACUAGCCAGAUCAAUAUCACUUCGGAAUUUGGUUUCCAGUGGAGGAACCAAAUAUGAAGCAAAGAUUGAGAAAGCGAUGGCAACAGAAGCCACUUUUGUGUAACAAAAGCCACUUCUCUAUAACCAAAAUGAAUAGCUGGUUGUAUAUAAGUUCUCCUACUUAAAUAAUGUUUUUGUAUACUCUGUAAGCUUGAUAGAACUUGUUUUGACAUAAUGUUUGUUAGUAUGAAAGAUGGGGUGUGUGCCAAGGUGCGCCCA